GCUCAAUUAACUCAGUGGAUAGAGUGUCAGCUUCCUAAGCUGAGGGUCGCGGGUUCGAUCCCCGUAUUGAGUG
Transfer RNA from Ostreococcus lucimarinus CCE9901, 73 nucleotides. It matches the Rfam family "tRNA". From Rfam's summary of the family: Transfer RNA (tRNA) molecules are approximately 80 nucleotides in length. The record is from Rfam. Lineage: Eukaryota; Viridiplantae; Chlorophyta; Mamiellophyceae; Mamiellales; Bathycoccaceae.